This 71-nucleotide transfer RNA is filed under the name Ovis aries (sheep). It matches the Rfam family "tRNA". From Rfam's summary of the family: Transfer RNA (tRNA) molecules are approximately 80 nucleotides in length. Their secondary structure includes four short double-helical elements and three loops (D, anti-codon, and T loops). The record is from Rfam by way of RNAcentral. Lineage: Eukaryota; Metazoa; Chordata; Mammalia; Artiodactyla; Bovidae.
UCCUGGUGGCUCAGAUGGUAAAGUGUCUGCCUGUAAUGUGGGAGACCUGGGUUUGAUUCCUAGAUCGGGAA